CAUCCUCGUUGUUAUCCAGGAUUGGUUUUUGAAGACAUUCAAAAUCUGCAUAUAUGAUAUGUGGUACCUUUAGCUGUUUACGAAUGUCUUUAUACAGUAACCACUUAUUGUCUCCAUUGCAUACUUCAAUAAUUUGGGGUCCGUGGGUCUGGCAGUUUGGUAAAUGACCGUUUAAAAGUUUUUCUUUGGUAAAUCCGUUUAAAUAGUAUGGACAGUGAAAAUGUCGUGCGUGAUGGCUAUGCUGGUCCCCCAAUAGUCGAUUGAGAUCCUUAAUCCAGCAGAAAUGUGAUUUUUUGCUAUCUGAUAUCAUGAGUUGAUUAACAUGUUGUUCCAAA
RNAcentral lists this long non-coding RNA (335 nucleotides) under Mytilus galloprovincialis (Mediterranean mussel). Lineage: Eukaryota; Metazoa; Mollusca; Bivalvia; Mytilida; Mytilidae. The record is from RNAcentral.